CACGUAGGCACCAAGCGUUGUCCGGAUUUAUUGGGCGUAAAGAGCUCGUAGGCGGUUCGGUAAGUCGGGUGUGAAAACUCUGGGCUCAACCCAGAGCCGCCACCCGAUACUGCUGUGACUUGAGUUCGGUAGGGGAGCGGGGAAUUCCUGGUGUAGCGGUGAAAUGCGCAGAUAUCAGGAGGAACACCGGUGGCGAAGGCGCACAUCUGGCCCGAUACUGACGCUGAGGCGCGAAAGCUAGGGGAGCAAACGGG
Molecule: ribosomal RNA, 254 nt
Filed under: uncultured bacterium
Lineage: Bacteria
Description: partial 16S ribosomal RNA
Rfam family: Bacterial small subunit ribosomal RNA
Source: RNAcentral